CCCUUAGAUGUUCUGGGCCGCACGCGCGCUACACUGACGAAUGCAACGAGCUUAUAACCUUGGCCGAAAGGUCUGGGUAAUCUCCAAAUUUCGUCGUGAUGGGGAUAGAUUAUUGCAAUUAUUAAUCUUCAACGAGGAAUGCCUAGUAAGCGCAAGUCAUCAGCUUGCGUUGAUUACGUCCCUGCCCUUUGUACACACCGCCCGUCGCUCCUACCGAUUGAAUGGUCCGGUGAAGCGCUCGGACCGCGGCCUCUUGACGGUUUUCCAUCGAUUGGCUGUGGGAAGUUCGUUAAACCUUAUCAUUUAGAGGAAGGAGAAGUCGUAACA
RNAcentral lists this ribosomal RNA (327 nucleotides) under uncultured eukaryote. Its description in RNAcentral is "partial 18S ribosomal RNA". It matches the Rfam family "Eukaryotic small subunit ribosomal RNA", at positions 1470 to 1796 of the family's 1831-position model. The record is from RNAcentral.